CCGGUGGCCCUGCCCUGAAUGUAUAGGGGUGUGGGUGGUAACGCGGGGAAGUGAAACAUCUUAGUACCCGUAGGAAGAGAAAACAAGUGUGAUUCCGUGAGUAGUGGCGAGCGAAAGCGGAGGAGGCUAAACCGUGUGUGUGUUCAAGCCGGCAGGUGUUGCAUGUGCGGGGUUGUGGGGGCCUUGU
This 187-nucleotide ribosomal RNA is filed under the name Aulacoseira subarctica. RNAcentral describes it as "partial Bacterial large subunit ribosomal RNA". It matches the Rfam family "Bacterial large subunit ribosomal RNA", at positions 144 to 312 of the family's 2925-position model. Lineage: Eukaryota; Bacillariophyta; Melosirophyceae; Melosirales; Aulacoseiraceae. The record is from RNAcentral.